GUCUUAUUCAAAAUUCAAAAACCGAUAGACAUGUAUAUAAACCUCAAUAGUUGCAGCGGAAUAUAAAUCAGAGUGAUCAAAUAUAUACAUGCCAUGAGCAAAUAAAUCAUAUCCCAAAGAUAAAUCUCAAAACCCAAACAUACGGGCAGUCAUCAACAAAACAAUAAUCCAAAGGAAAUAUAAACAACCUAAUCUAGACCGACACGACAAGCCUAGAUCAGAGCCGACACGACACCGAUAUCGGAGGAAGCUCCCGAUAUCCCAAGCAAAGACUCACCGAGCACUACUCCUGCACAACGUCUACUCACCCAUACAGGCAAGUAGGCGGUUAAAACCACUGGGGGUAAGCAUUACAUUAUCAUAAUCCAGAUGAUAAUAAAAUCAAAUAAUAUCAUGUAUUUGAAUAAUAUUAGCCAUGCAUAAAUACUUACAUCACAACUUGAUAGCUCAUAUCAAUAUACAUCAAUCACAUGAAUAAUUAUCCAAUCAUAAAUAUUCAUUCACAACAUUAAUCAUUGAACAAUCAUUAUCAACAUUCAUUCAUCUCAUUUAAUCACCAAUCACAUAUUUCACAUAGGACUCAUGCUAUGAUAUGCACUUAUUGACACAUAAAUGCAUGUGGUACCAAAUCUCAACAAGGUCGUCACCUUUCGAUGCCACUUGCACAUCGUAUGUAAGGGCUCACACCUGCCUUACAAUAAUCUCGAAGUAAAAGAGUUCAACCCUUUUACAGCAACAUCGACUAUGAUGCAUGGACAUGUAUAAGGACUCGAUAAUGCGACAACAAUUCACAAUCUCAACUCAAUAUAUAGGACGACACCCAAUUAUAUUGAUUAUCUCCACAACAUUGCAUUACCAAGGAAACAUGCCCAUACACGAUUAAAUCAUAGCAUUCAUCAUCAUCACAUCAACAUGAUUAUCAAUAAUCAACAAUGUUAUUCAACAUCAACUAUCACAUAUAGUUCACCGAUUCAAGCAUUCUCAUAUUCCAAGUAAGAUAGCAAAAUAUAUCUCAUGAUCAUCAUCACAUCCCAAUUACAUAUUUACAUACUCAAUUAUUCACUCUAAAUACUUCAUUAAGCCCAAUAUCAAGUUUGGAAAAGUUUCACGGCUUAUAGAAAAAGUUAUGAUAAGUUUUCACAAAAAUCCACAUGACCCAUGUGUAGUAAUUUAAUCAUAUCUCAAGUUCUAAAAAUCAUUUGGACGUCAAACCAAAACCAAAAGAUAGCUAACAUAAUUGUCUACAACUUUCAUGUUUACCAAAAAGUCCAAAUCAAAACAGAAAUAUGCGAAAACGAUGCAAGAGCGCGAAACAGGGGAAGCUGUCACUGGGCUGCUCGCCUCGCGAGUAGGGUUACUCGCCAUGGCGAGAAAUUCCAGUGGCUACUCGCCACCAGCUCGCCUCGCGAGUGAUGACAGUUUGCAGAAAAUUAUGUUUUCGUGAAAAAUCCAUUUUCACCCCAAAAUCCCAAUUUUUGACCUCCCAAUACCCAAAUUGAUUCCAAAGGUUUACCCAAAUGUUUUUAGACAUGAAAAGAUACUCAAAUCCAUAUACAAACUUGAAUCAAACAUCAUUUUAAACAAAAUCACCAUUUGACCCAUUUUCUCAAAACAUCAACAACAUCUCAUUUUUCAUCAUCAAUCCAUAAUUAUGUAUACCCAAGUCAUAAUUCACCCACAACAACAUCAGUUAAUAGCAAUAACCUUAAUGGAACAUGAAUCACAUCUCAUUUUAACAACAACAUAUCAAGAUUCACUAAUUGAGUAUAAUUUCAUAGCUUGACAUUUAUACAUACUUUGAAACAUGUAAUUUCAUCCACAAACAUACCAUAAUCAUCAAUUCAUGCACAAGAAAAUAGCAUCACAACAAGAGCACGGAUUUAACAUCAAUUGUUCAUCAACCCAUUUUCAUACAACCAUGAGAAAUGAAAAAAUUUGAAUUGAUUAUGAUGAAAACAAACCCCCUUACCUUAGAUGAUGUUUAAUCUUAACUUAGGUUUCACUUUAUCUCCUAAUUGCUUCAAUCUUCAAGUUUCCCCCUUCCUCUAACCUUGUUCUUCCUUCACCUCUCACUUCUCUCUCUACCUCUCUCUAACUUAGUGAAAUGAAAAGGAAUGAAUGAAUUUGCUCUCACAACCCUAAUGUUAUUUCCCCCUAGUGGGCUUAACUUAGUUUUAGUGGGCUUAACCCGUUUCUAUUCAAACCACAAUUCUAAAAAGUUUCUAUACA
Molecule: long non-coding RNA, 2229 nt
Filed under: Medicago truncatula (barrel medic)
Lineage: Eukaryota; Viridiplantae; Streptophyta; Magnoliopsida; Fabales; Fabaceae
Description: long non-coding RNA (MTRU_LNC001115)
Source: RNAcentral